AGUAAUGCCUUAAGAUAGGAUGCCAGUAGGCUUAAUAGGGAAUCUGGUGCGAAACCAGAACUGCCCCCGCAACUGUAAAUGCAGACGAACUGAACAAACCACUUUACAACGUGCUUUCAAAAGGUGCCUGUAAGGGAAGGGUUCAAAGUAGGAUGACGCAUGAGUCAGGAGACCUGUCCUUCUUGAGAUGUUUCA
RNAcentral lists this non-coding RNA (195 nucleotides) under Bacillus sp. (in: firmicutes). Lineage: Bacteria; Bacillati; Bacillota; Bacilli; Caryophanales; Bacillaceae. The record is from RNAcentral.